UGAUUUCUUCAGUUUUGCACUCCAUGGAU
RNAcentral lists this non-coding RNA (29 nucleotides) under Rattus norvegicus (Norway rat). Lineage: Eukaryota; Metazoa; Chordata; Mammalia; Rodentia; Muridae. The record is from RNAcentral.